UAAAAAAAAAAAAGAAAAAAGAAAUCAACCCUAUUUGUUAAAUAUGAUAUAAAGCCAUAAUUGGUUUUCUUUUUCUUUCUUUGGCAUCAGUUAAGCAUUAUUUGGUGUUCGGUUAACUUUGAUUGAAGAUCUAAAAAGAGGAAAUAGUGGACUAUGGCACAUGCAUUAAUAAAAUAUUCUUAUAUUUAUGUAAGGAUAUAAAUAAGUUGAAAAAGAAAGUAAAAAAGGUUACUUGUAGAAUUAGUUUAGGUAAGUGAGCUGCAAAUACAAUAUUUAAAACAUAUAAAGAAGGAAAUCAAGAAGAAUGUGAUAUGGACCUGCAGCAGCUAGGAGAAUCCCAAAGCAGUUUAUUUUUCUGUGUUAGUUUAUUUUCCUAUUAAAUUAAA
RNAcentral lists this unclassified non-coding RNA (386 nucleotides) under Hevea brasiliensis (rubber tree). The record is from RNAcentral. Lineage: Eukaryota; Viridiplantae; Streptophyta; Magnoliopsida; Malpighiales; Euphorbiaceae.